CCUACGGGAGGCAGCAGUGAGGAAUAUUGGUCAAUGGGCGGAAGCCUGAACCAGCCAAGUAGCGUGCGGGAUGAAGGCCCUACGGGUCGUAAACCGCUUUUGCACGGGGAUAACACCCUCCACUUGUGGAGGUCUGCAGUUACCGUUCGAAUAAGGGCCGGCUAAUUCCGUGCCAGCAGCCGCGGUAAUACGGAAGGCCCGAGCGUUGUCCGGGUUCAUUGGGCUUAAAGGGAGCGUAGGCGGGCGUUUAAGUCAGCUGUAAAAGCGCGCGGCUCAACCGCCCCCCGCAGUUGAAACUGGACGCCUUGAGUUCACAACAGGCAGGCGGAAUUCGUGGUGUAGCGGUGAAAUGCAUAGAUAUCACGAGGAACCCCGAUUGCGAAGGCAGCCUGCCGGGGUGCGACUGACGCUGAGGCUCGAAGGUGCGGGUAUCAAACAGGAUUAGAUACCCUUGUAGUC
Molecule: ribosomal RNA, 459 nt
Filed under: uncultured bacterium
Lineage: Bacteria
Description: partial 16S ribosomal RNA
Rfam family: Bacterial small subunit ribosomal RNA
Source: RNAcentral